GGCGCCGUGGCUUAGUUGGUUACGCCUGUCUAGUAAACAGGAGAUCACGAGUUCGAAUCUCGUCGGUGCUU
Molecule: transfer RNA, 71 nt
Filed under: Nephila pilipes (giant wood spider)
Lineage: Eukaryota; Metazoa; Arthropoda; Arachnida; Araneae; Nephilidae
Rfam family: tRNA
About the family: Transfer RNA (tRNA) molecules are approximately 80 nucleotides in length. Their secondary structure includes four short double-helical elements and three loops (D, anti-codon, and T loops).
Source: Rfam by way of RNAcentral